Egretta garzetta (little egret) is the source of this 1250-nucleotide long non-coding RNA. RefSeq lists it as uncharacterized. NCBI's taxonomy places the organism in Eukaryota, Metazoa, Chordata, Aves, Pelecaniformes, Ardeidae. The record is from RefSeq and is a predicted model, not a curated record. The transcript has 3 exons.
UUUAUUUUCUGCUUAAAGACAGACCUCAAGGGUUGACGUGCUGGGCAUGCCUCAAGAGCCGAUGAUUAAGAAGGAAACGAAGCAUUUCCUGCCCAUCCCCCCCAGCACAAAUAUUGCUUAAAAUAUCCAAAUGACGUGGAGUAACUGGCAUCUUCCUCCAGCAUCUCUGUCUGCUAUUGUGAAUUAUACUCUUGUGGUUUAGCCCUCUCCAAAGGGAGGUCCUGGAGAAAUAUCCUAAUACACCUAUGAGCCAUAAAGAGAUCCUUCAAGUUAUCCAGAAAGAAGGACUUAAAGAAAUCAGUGUCAUCUGGAGCAGUGUGUGGUUCUGCCUUGGAGCUCUUCCUGUUCCCCCCCAAGGAGCAGGCUGAGUCUUUGGUGUGUGGGCAAAGGAGGGCACAAACUCAGGUGAUGCUGAUCUGCGUUAGGAAAACAGAGCAACUCGGGUGACAACCCCCGAGCUGCUGCUACCGUAGCUUAAUUCUUGAGUCUGUGCUCAUAGUAUUUCCCAGAGAUGGACCAGUGUAUUUAGGGAGAUAUAAGGGCAACUGUUCCCUGAAGUACAAAGUAUUUAUAUUCCUGUUUUCCAAGAACAAAGAAAAAGGGGGAGGGAAAAGAGGAUUGGAUGUGCCAGUUCAUCUGUUUUGGAAUGGAGUAGCCAUCCUGAAGUUGGCUUCAUUUUGUUUUUCACUACACUUUGCCAGUUUAAUGCAGCAAUCCAUCUGCUGUGGCAGAAAUACUCAAGGCCCGAGUGCAGAAAUUCUGCUGUCGAUAGCAAGACCUUCCACUCAAGUGGUGGACAACACAGAGGUGGUCUGGGUUUUGGGAAGUCAGUUUAUCUAAAAGUAAGGGAGCCAAAUACACCCAUUUUAGCUCUUGGGGAGGUGACAGAAGUGGGGCUUUGUUCCUGAGAUGCGCUUUGCUUUGGGGCAGUACCACAUUAAGAUGAAAGGUUUACCAGCCUUAGGACAGCUUCAGUGUUGUGUUAAAUACUGUUAAUCCAUCAAAGGCCUGUCUGCCUUGUGGCAGCCCCUUGUGCAUUCCCAAGCAUAGACAUGCAGAUGUCUGUACUGGUGGUCUCCUGAUGGCAAAGCGAAAGUCUAGCCAACACCCAGGCACUUGGAUGGUGAACCUUUUUAGCAAUUCAGAGUGCUCUUCUUGGGGGAGAGCCUUAGGCAGGAACUCAGAUGUGGUGUAAAAGAGCCAGUCUCUGGCUGGCCAGGCCAGAUUUUGGACUGAACAGUCAAAAAAAA